GGGGGGGGGGGGAAGAGGGGAGGGGAAAAGUGUCUAGUAAUGGGGCUUAAAAUUGUAACCUGUCUUCUACAGGUGUUUCUGCUUAAACCCAUCGGUAAACUGAAACUAUUGGUAGUUACAAGGAGUAGGGCAAAAUGAACCCUAUGUAAACACCCAGAAAUACGCAAGUAAAUGGAGAUCUUUGCAUUCUUGAACACCUGCAAGCAGCAAAAACAUCUAUGAAAGGACUCGAGUGUGAGCACACAGCUCUUAGCGUUGGAACUUUUUCCAAUGCAGUCUGGCUUUCUGAAGGGGUAGAAGUUGCAAGUAUUGUUGUUAGUAGUAAUUGCAUGGUAGACUGUUCAGCUGGAAAUCUUUUUGCCCUGAGCUUCUAA
RNAcentral lists this long non-coding RNA (374 nucleotides) under Coturnix japonica (Japanese quail). Its description in RNAcentral is "lncRNA (ENSCJPG00005000835.1)". The record is from RNAcentral. Lineage: Eukaryota; Metazoa; Chordata; Aves; Galliformes; Phasianidae.